GUCGUACCAGUCCACCAGGUCUAUGACCCCUGUGUUAUUGUCGUACCAAUCCACCAGGUCUAUGACCCCUGUGUUAUUGUCGUACCAGUCCACCAGGUCUAUGACCCCUGUGUUAUUGCUGUACCAGUCCACCACUCUAGGUCUAUGACCCCUGUGUUAUUGCUGUACCAAUCCACUAGGUCUAUGACCCCUGUGUUAUUGUCGUACCAGUCCACCAGGUCUAUGACCCCUGUGUUAUUGCUGUACCAGUCCACCACUCUAGGUCUAUGACCCCUGUGUUAUUGCUGUACCAAUCCACCACUCUAGGUCUAUGACCCCUGUGUUAUUGUCGUACCA
RNAcentral lists this long non-coding RNA (336 nucleotides) under Salmo salar (Atlantic salmon). RNAcentral describes it as "lncRNA (ENSSSAG00000109102.1)". Lineage: Eukaryota; Metazoa; Chordata; Actinopteri; Salmoniformes; Salmonidae. The record is from RNAcentral.